RNAcentral lists this ribosomal RNA (301 nucleotides) under uncultured bacterium. Its description in RNAcentral is "partial 16S ribosomal RNA". It matches the Rfam family "Bacterial small subunit ribosomal RNA", at positions 509 to 807 of the family's 1533-position model. The record is from RNAcentral.
CAGCAGCCGCGGGAAUACAGAGGGUGCGAGCGUUAAUCGGAUUUACUGGGCGUAAAGCGUGCGUAGGCGGCUUUUUAAGUCGGAUGUGAAAUCCCUGAGCUUAACUUAGGAAUUGCAUUCGAUACUGGGAAGCUAGAGUAUGGGAGAGGAUGGUAGAAUUCCAGGUGUAGCGGUGAAAUGCGUAGAGAUCUGGAGGAAUACCGAUGGCGAAGGCAGCCAUCUGGGCCAAUACUGACGCUCAUGCACGAAAGCGUGGGGAGCAAACAGGAUUAGAUACCCGAGUAGUCCCUGUCUCUUAUAC